AUCCGGGUUUGAAAACUGAUCCUCUCCACGACUCCGCCUUCAGUUAUCGAUCUCUCCCUACAAUUUAGCCGUUCUAUUUCAAACUGCUUGCGAUUUGAAUAUGCCUAAUUUCAAACUACUCAGUUUUCUGCCGCCAUUGUUCUUCAACCAAAUCCUGUAAUCCGUGUUUAUCGCAACGUUUCCGCCUAUAUGGAUUCAUCUGGUACGUAAGAUUACAUGUUCUCUCCCGGAGGUGUCUUCGUCACUUCAUUUUAUGUUCUUAAUAUGUGAAACAGGUCUGAAACGAUUUCCUUCUUCCAUCCGUGGCCGUGAGUUUCAUAGAGGUCUUUUGUGAGUUUCAUAAAGGUCUUUUGCCAUUCCUGCUUGCUUUGAUUCAAUUUAGGUUAAGAUUCUUGGGUUGUAAACUCUUUUCAAGUUGUAUGCAUCUAAUUGUUAUCUGGUUAAACUCUUUUUCUGGCUGGUUUAAACUUUUAAUGAUAUUAAUUGGCGCUUGCCUUUUGUGACAACUUUGCGAUGAAACAGUAGGUUUUCUAUGUUGAGGAAUUAGGAUCCUCAACAUGUAAAAGUGUAAGCAUGCCUUAGAUUCGGGAAGGAUACCCUUUAAGAAAGCCGAUGUGUGGAUUUUGGCGUAUUUUACAUGUAAUGAGAUGUUUAGAAUUAUAAAUUAUGAGUAGUUGAGCAAUUUAUUGGAAUUUUAAUCUAGAGAUUUUAUGAUUUUAUGAUACUUUCUUUUAUCUCAAAAAAUUACAUGCACAAUUUUUUUAUAAAAUUUGGAGGGGUCUCAUUUGUAUUUACUACUAAUAAUUUUAGUUAGUUAAGAUGAAUUUUAUAUUUAAAAUUUGAUUCAUUGCUGAUAUUCUAGCUUUGCUGAGAUUCCUCUGGCAGUAAUCAAGUAAAAACCAAAUUCACAAACUAAACAAUAUAAGCUCUUAAGCUGAUAAGCGAUGCACACAUAUCUAUUAUUAAUAUCAAUAGUGGCUAUUAGUAUAAUUGCAUCGCUUCAAUGUAAUAUUUGUAUGCUGCUAUGAAUUUCUACCAUUUUUACCUUGAAUUUCUUUCGCUUCUUUUGUUUGCCUAGAGUGCAGUUUGAUCAUGUCCUCCCUGCCCUACCAAUGACUCUGCAGUGGUAUAUCGGAUUAGACUUUAUAGUAAUUAAUUUCUUAUCUUAUUUUGCUGAUGAAUAUGGUGGAAUGCAUUAUGUGCAGGAAAAUGAAGAUGGAAUGUCUUGAUUAAUAUCUCAUAUAUAUAUAUUCCAGUGAGCCUAAAUUCUGGAGCAACUAUUGGCCGAACAUUAUUCGCAAACCCUCCAAAAAUUUAACAAGACUGUGCCAAAUUCAAGUUUUAAGACUCCAACACGUGCUGAUAAUGUUGCCAACAGCCCUCACACUCCACACAAGGUUCUGCCGUUACACAAGUCACCAGGGCCAAAUCCGUGAAUCAGACAGAUGCAUUUAAGCUCCCAGAUCUAAAGAAGUACAUGGACAAGAAGCUUCAAAUUAAGAUGAAUGCUGAUAGCAUUUUUGUUGGCACCCUUCGUGGUUUUGAUCAGUUCAUGAACCUGGUGAUUGACAACACCAUGGAGGUGAAUGGUGAUGAGAGAAAUGAUAUUGGCAUGGUGGUUAUUAAAGGAAAUAGCUUGGUCACUGUUGAAGCACUUGAGCUGGUGCUAAUAUGUUGUGAUUUUA
Molecule: long non-coding RNA, 1685 nt
Organism: Daucus carota subsp. sativus
Lineage: Eukaryota; Viridiplantae; Streptophyta; Magnoliopsida; Apiales; Apiaceae
Exons: 3
Source: RefSeq, a predicted model, not a curated record